RNAcentral lists this long non-coding RNA (1603 nucleotides) under Xyrichtys novacula (pearly razorfish). The record is from RNAcentral. Lineage: Eukaryota; Metazoa; Chordata; Actinopteri; Labriformes; Labridae.
AGACUCUCCAAAUAAACUCCUCGGAGCCGUUGUUGAUCGUUAGGUCAUGUUUCUGGACACCGGCUGCAGAGCGUCAGUCCCACAGAAACACAACGUGCCGCCGCCGCUGUGAGGUCCCAGACCUCCAGGAGUUACAUAACCUGAACAUGAUCGAGUGAUUAUGGAGACAUGGAUGUGAGCUGGUGGAGCUGCAGAGAGAGAGAGGAGGACGGAGCUCUGCUGGACUCUCUCUCUGAAAACACAGAGGAUUUCAGUGGAAACAGGUUUUUACAGAGUUACACCGACAGUUUCUACUUUUAUUUAUUCGUCUUUAUUUUGAGUAUCUGUUCAGGAGUUUUUUACUGUUUGUUCUUCAUGAAUCAUUCAGAGGAACCCUGAAUCAGAGAGGACAGGCCCAUCAUCCUUUAACCUCUCCCUGAAGGCUCCUCAGACCGUAGACCACAUCAGUGAUCUCAGAGUCUGUCCUGUUCGGUUAUAAAACUCAGAGUUUGGUUAAUCCAACUGGAGCGGCGCCUCUUUACAUCCACUAACAUUUACAAAUCCUGAAUUCUGAAGAAGCAAAUAACCUGUGUGUGUCUGCAGAGUCUGAGGCUGCGGUUUCAGGACUGUGAGGUUAAAGUUACUGUGAAGUUUGUGGUUCGACGCGACAAAAAUAAAACAGUCUUUACUGUCGAUGCACUGAGCUGCCAUCUUGGAUUAUGUUGUCGUCAAAUCAGGGUUGGCGAGGAUCGUCCGACUUUCCGAGUUGAUAAGCCGACUUCAGGAGCGCGUUCCAGAGGAAUUUCCGACUCGGAGCUCAGAAAUCUCGACUUCCGAGUACAAGUGGAACGCAGCACAAGAAACCAAAAGUUUUGAUGGUAAAAAACAAAAACUUAUUAUUUUAAUUUAAUUUGAACAAAAAUCCAACUGGAAAAAAAACAAAAAUAAAAACACAAAUUAAGACAGAGAAGACAGAGAGACACGGACAACGAACCGACACAGAAGGAGGGAAAAGGUUAGAAACUAUAAACAGAGAGAGAGAGAGAGAGAGAGAGAGAGAGAGAGAAAGAGAAGAAACAGGUGAAACAAACGAGGGAUUAAAAAAACUGGAGAGACGUGGAGAGGUGCGCCGCUUAACCGGCAACAAGUGUUCAGAAAAGUGACUCUGCGUGUUCUUCAGACUGUGAAUAUUUGACCGUUCAGAUCGGAGUGUAAAAAGGUGAAGGUCACGGUUGAUAUAAAACACAAUAAAAGGUCAAAAGGUCAGAGAAGCUCAAAAACACGGAGCGAACAUCUGAAGAUGAUCUGAGGAAGAAUUCGCCGUUAAACUCGUUCAGAUUUUGUUCCUAAAUUUCUCGAUAUUUAUGGAAAUGUCAGAAUUUGACUAAAAACAGACUUCAUCUUCAUCAUCAUCUUCAUCAUCAUCAUGUGUCAGAGUGUGUGUGAGUGUAAUCAGAGCUGUAAACACCGCUCUGACUUCAUUAUGUAACAUCUGGUCUUCUUCUCCAGCAGCUGUUUCGCUCCAGAACCAGGUCCACUCUCUGAGCCGUUAAAGGGAGAGUCCGCUCCGUUCUUUAUCCCUGAAGGUGACUCGCUGACGUCUGGUCCAGAUGUUUGAGGGAGA